Molecule: unclassified non-coding RNA, 329 nt
Filed under: soil metagenome
Description: partial contains 5.8S ribosomal RNA, internal transcribed spacer 2, and large subunit ribosomal RNA
Rfam family: 5.8S ribosomal RNA (bases 1-120)
Source: RNAcentral
GAUGAAUAACGCAGCGAAAUGCGAUAAGUAAUGUGAAUUGCAGAAUUCAGUGAAUCAUCGAAUCUUUGAACGCACAUUGCGCCCCUUGGUAUUCCGAGGGGCAUGCCUGUUCGAGCGUCAUUAUAACCCCUCAAGCUCAGCUUGGUGUUGGGGCCUGCUGCACUGGCAGCCCUUAAAAUCAGUGGCGGCGCCAUCUGGCUCUAAGCGUAGUAAUUCUUCUAGCUAUGGAGUCCUGGUGGAUGCUUGCCAUCAACCCCCAAUUUUUCUAUGGUUGACCUCGGAUCAGGUAGGGAUACCCGCUGAACUUAAGCAUAUCAAUAAGCGGAGGA